Molecule: ribosomal RNA, 254 nt
Filed under: uncultured bacterium
Lineage: Bacteria
Description: partial small subunit ribosomal RNA
Rfam family: Bacterial small subunit ribosomal RNA
Source: RNAcentral
AGGACGAACGCUGGCGGCGUGCUUAACACAUGCAAGUCGAGCGGAAAGGCCCUUCGGGGUACUCGAGCGGCGAACGGGUGAGUAACACGUGAGCAACCUGCCCCUGGCUCUGGGAUAGCCUCCGGAAACGGGGAUUAAUACCGGACAUGACCUGCUGCCGCAUGGUGGCGGGUGGAAAGUUUUCGGCCAGGGUGGGGCUCGCGGCCUAUCAGCUUGGUUGGGGGGGUGACGGCCCACCAAGGCGACGACGGGUA